This is a non-coding RNA of Triticum aestivum (bread wheat), 125 nucleotides long. NCBI's taxonomy places the organism in Eukaryota, Viridiplantae, Streptophyta, Magnoliopsida, Poales, Poaceae. The record is from Rfam.
GUACUACUCCCUCCGUCCGGAAAUACUUGUCGGAGGAAUGAAUGUAUCUAGAUGUAUUUUAGUUCUAGAUACAUCCAUUUUUAUGCAUCUCUGCAACAAAUAUUUCCGAACGAAGGGAGUAUUUA